RNAcentral lists this ribosomal RNA (514 nucleotides) under uncultured bacterium. Its description in RNAcentral is "partial 16S ribosomal RNA". It matches the Rfam family "Bacterial small subunit ribosomal RNA", at positions 28 to 523 of the family's 1533-position model. The record is from RNAcentral.
GACGAACGCUGGCGGCAUGCCUAACACAUGCAAGUCGAACGGAGAUUAUUUCGAUAAUCUUAGUGGCGAACGGGUGAGUAACGCGUGGGCAACCUGCCCUCUAGAUGGGGACAACAUCCCGAAAGGGGUGCUAAUACCGAAUGUGACAGCAAUCUCGCAUGAGGAUGCUGUGAAAGAUGGCCUCUAUUUAUAAGCUAUCGCUAGAUGAUGGGCCUGCGUCUGAUUAGCUAGUUGGUGGGGUAACGGCCUACCAAGGCGAUGAUCAGUAGCCGGUCUGAGAGGAUGAACGGCCACAUUGGGACUGAGGCACGGCCCAGACUCCUACGGGAGGCAGCAGUGGGGAAUCUUCCGCAAUGGGCGAAAGCCUGACGGAGCAAUGCCGCGUGAGUGAUGAAGGAAUUCGUUCCGAAAAGCUCUUUUGUUUAUGACGAAUGUGCAAGUUGUGAAUAAUGACUUGUAAUGACGGUAGUAAACGAAUAAGCCACGGCUAACUACGUGCCAGCCGCCGCGGUAA